RNAcentral lists this ribosomal RNA (587 nucleotides) under uncultured bacterium. RNAcentral's name for it is "partial 16S ribosomal RNA". It matches the Rfam family "Bacterial small subunit ribosomal RNA", at positions 355 to 1375 of the family's 1533-position model. The record is from RNAcentral.
UGGGGAAUUUUGGACAAUGGGCGAAAGCCUGAUCCAGCAAUGCCGCGUGUGUGAAGAAGGCCUUCGGGUUGUAAAGCACUUUUGUCCGGAAAGAAAUCCUUGGCUCUAAUACAGUCGGGGGAUGACGGUACCGGAAGAAUAAGCACCGGCUAACUACGUGCCAGCAGCCGCGGUAAUACGUAGGGUGCAAGCGUUAAUCGGAAUUACUGGGCGUAAAGCGUGCGCAGGCGGUUUGCUAAGACCGAUGUGAAAUCCCCGGGCUCAACCUGGGAACUGCAUUGGUGACUGGCAGGCUAGAGUAUGGCAGAGGGGGGUAGAAUUCCACGUGUAGCAGUGAAAUGCGUAGAGAUGUGGAGGAAUACCGAUGGCGAAGGCAGCCCCCUGGGCCAAUACUGACGCUCAUGCACGAAAGCGUGGGGAGCAAACAGGAUUAGAUACCCUGGUAGUCCACGCCCUAAACGAUGUCAACUAGUUGUUGGGGGAUUCAUUUCCUUAGUAACGUAGCUAACGCGUGAAGUUGGCCGCCUGGGGAGUACGGUCGCAAGAUUGAAAACUCAAAUGAAUUGACGGGGUCAUAGCUGUUUCCU